RNAcentral lists this ribosomal RNA (253 nucleotides) under uncultured bacterium. Its description in RNAcentral is "partial 16S ribosomal RNA". It matches the Rfam family "Bacterial small subunit ribosomal RNA", at positions 524 to 776 of the family's 1533-position model. The record is from RNAcentral.
UACGAAGGGGGCUAGCGUUGCUCGGAAUCACUGGGCGUAAAGGGUGCGUAGGCGGGGCUUUAAGUCAGGGGUGAAAUCCUGGAGCUCAACUCCAGAACUGCCUUUGAUACUGAAGAUCUUGAGUCCGGGAGAGGUGAGUGGAACUGCGAGUGUAGAGGUGAAAUUCGUAGAUAUUCGGAAGAACACCAGUGGCGAAGGCGAGUCUCUGGACAUUUCCUGACGCUGAGGCACGAAAGCCAGGGGAGCAAACGGG